CAGCAGCCGCGGUAAUACGUAGGGUGCAAGCGUUAAUCGGAAUUACUGGGCGUAAAGCGUGCGCAGGCGGUUAUAUAAGACAGAUGUGAAAUCCCCGGGCUCAACCUGGGAACUGCAUUUGUGACUGUAUAGCUAGAGUACGGCAGAGGGGGAUGGAAUUCCGCGUGUAGCAGUGAAAUGCGUAGAUAUGCGGAGGAACACCGAUGGCGAAGGCAAUCCCCUGGGCCUGUACUGACGCUCAUGCACGAAAGCGUGGGGAGCAAACAGGAUUAGAACCCCGGUAGUCCCUGUCUCUUAUACC
RNAcentral lists this ribosomal RNA (301 nucleotides) under uncultured bacterium. RNAcentral describes it as "partial 16S ribosomal RNA". It matches the Rfam family "Bacterial small subunit ribosomal RNA", at positions 509 to 808 of the family's 1533-position model. The record is from RNAcentral.